Punica granatum (pomegranate) is the source of this 546-nucleotide non-coding RNA. The record is from RefSeq and is a predicted model, not a curated record. Lineage: Eukaryota; Viridiplantae; Streptophyta; Magnoliopsida; Myrtales; Lythraceae.
GACUAGACGUUGCUUUUUCCGUUUUGCUUCUGCCUUAAAAAUAUUCAGCUUUAUAACAACAUUCAACUCGUGCAACUCCGACAAUACAGGCAACUCCGCUGCCUUCCACCGGCCUCUUUUUCCUUACAGAUGACACCUUCAUCCGGCCGGUCAGUUUCAUAGAUGAGAACCCAAUCAGUGCCAAACCCAAAACUCCAUCUAGCUAUUGAUCAAUUGGAAUCUUGAGCCGAUCAUCGCAAUUGUCGUUGACGGGGAGCUGAUCAGUCAACUAGAGGGGACUUGGUUUUUGGGUGGAGAUGAGCGGCAAUGGGUGCAGGGUGCUGCAGAAGGGGUCCACCGAUAGCUGCGUGCUGAGGACAUGCCUCUAGUGGAUCCCGGCUCUGGAGGGCCAGUAUGAUGCCACCCUCUUCCUAUCCGAAGGGCCAAUAUGAUGGCCCUAGUGGAUCCUGACUCCAGAGUGUCUUUACAACACUCAAUUUCGUUGAGCGGCUUAAGAAUUAUGGUGUAGUUUUUCUGAUUUUGUCACAAAUCUGAAUUUCAAUCUCA